Molecule: long non-coding RNA, 1956 nt
Organism: Mauremys mutica (yellowpond turtle)
Lineage: Eukaryota; Metazoa; Chordata; Testudines; Geoemydidae
Exons: 3
Source: RefSeq, a predicted model, not a curated record
UAAAUCAGCAUCUCCUAGCCAGCAACAGGUUUUACCUCCCGCAAUCCCAUGUGUAAAAUAACAUUAGGUAAACCCAUUACCUAACAUUCUCCACAAGUGUGAUUGUUGAGCUAAAGCUCUGCCUCUGGCUUUGGGUGUAAAGGCUCCUGGAAGAACCUGGGGAGCUUCAUUCCUGCGCUUUGCUCCUCUCUAGAACAGCCUGCUGUAACAAACAGAGAGGGAUCUGAGAAUGAACGGAUGUGGCCACCCUCUGAGAUUGAGGAGGAGGAAUGACCACGCACUCCUACCAUGUGUCUGUUUCCUUGAAAUGUAGGGGUCUCCCUGCCACCCCCUCCUUUGGGUGAGGAAAGAGGGUGCUCAGGAGCCACCAGCUCACCUUGGCAGUGGGAUUACGUAGUCUGGCUUCCUCUCUCCCACAUUCUGCCUGUUGUUAGUUGCUACCAAUGCCUCUGAUGGGGUGUGUAAGCCCCACACUGGGGAACCAAGGGUUAAUAAGCAGCUCUGUGCCCAGAAUGCCCCCUCCUCAGAGAAGCUGAAGCUGCAGAGAGGCUGUGGGAGCUCCACACCGCCUGGACUGGACUCCGCUGCUGAGCCACCAGAGGCCCCGUGGAGACUGGGAAUAGAGAGCCUCAAUUGGAGGAGAAGAACCUCUGGAUGAUGGCCAGGAGGACACCUGGCCAGGAGGACACCUGCCCAUGACUCCAGAAACUGGCCCCUGCUGUGACUUUGGAGGGGGAGAGGCUAUGGUAGGAAGUGCCCAGGGAGCAGGCAUGUUGGCUUCCACCCCAGGCCACAUGUGCAACCUGCUAGUCAUAGGCCCUGGGUCUGAACCCCCUGGAGCAAGGAGGGCCGGGUUCCCCUACUACCAGCCCCACAGGCUCUUUCCACUGAGCAGUGCAGCCAUAGACCCUCACCACUGGGCAACACUCAGUUCACAGCAGCAGUCAAAGAGGCUAGCAGUAUGUUAGGAACUAUUAGGAAAGGGAUAGAAAAUAAAAUAAAAAAUAUCGUAAUGCCGCUAUAUGAACCCAUGGUGGACCCACACUUUGGAUAUGUAGUAUUAGGAUUUUAUGUUUUAUGUAUUUUAUAUAAUUUAGAAUGAAGGAUAAAGUAUAAUAAUGUAGCAUGUAUUGAUGUAUGAUAUGAUUUGACCAUAUUCUGCCAGCCACCCUUUCUGAAAGCAGAACGGAAUGGCCUAGUGUGCCAGAAUCUUGUGUCUGAAGCUGAUUUCAAGGCAGUAACAGACCUUUAGGGUCACCGCUUUGUUGUAGGUUUAGCAUUUUGAAAUAAGUAAAAGAACGCCAUGAUUGUUUUCUCCUGCAUUGCAAUUUGAUGUUCCUGUUCAAAUGCUUUGUGUAAAUCAAUCCUGUUUUGUGUGUGACUGAGAAAUGUGUGUGUUAGAAGAUAAGUGUGAAGGCCAUCACCGGAACAGAUGUUCUAGGGAGGAAUCGAGGACAGACGUAAAGGCACCAGGAGAUUGCAACACGCCCCUAUUGAGAUGUCAGAGGAGGGCAGAUUGAUAACUCUAAAAGAUGUAGCUGGCACCCAUCAACGGGGACAAGAGAGCUGUGAACCAAACUAGAAUGAGGUAACUCCCUGAGAGACUGAUAAAAGAACAAGAUAAAGGAUGAGAAGAACAAUUUAAGAAAACAAGCACUCGUCAAACGACAAUUGAUUACAGCACAACAGUGCAAAACUCAUUGGUCCCAGUGAAGGAAAAUCACUAUAUUUACAGGGGGCCUUGCCAUGAAACUUUGGGUUUGUCCUGCCAAGACUUCCCUGGAGCAUCGUGUCACGACCGAGAGAACCUGGCUCCUACUACCUGUGAUCAACCUUGCUGGCCACUAGAUUGAUCCGGACUCUGGAUUGGUAACUAUAACAUUGACUGGCGGGAGUGUGUUUGUGUGUGUGUGGUGCGAUUGAAUGCAUAUGCUAAUUGUUGUAUCUCCAAUAAAC